Molecule: non-coding RNA, 72 nt
Organism: Phrynosoma platyrhinos (Desert horned lizard)
Lineage: Eukaryota; Metazoa; Chordata; Lepidosauria; Squamata; Phrynosomatidae
Source: the annotation of a GenBank genome assembly
GCUAGUGUGGCAUAGUGGUUUGAGUUCUGGACUAUGACUCUGGAGACCAGGGUUCAAUUGACAGCUCAUGCU